Molecule: ribosomal RNA, 253 nt
Filed under: uncultured bacterium
Lineage: Bacteria
Description: partial 16S ribosomal RNA
Rfam family: Bacterial small subunit ribosomal RNA
Source: RNAcentral
UACAGGGGGCGCAAGCGUUGCUCGGAAUUACUGGGCGUAAAGCGUACGCAGGCGGAUCGUCAAGUCGGGUGUGAAAGCCCGGGGCUCAACCCCGGAACUGCAUUCGAUACUAGCGAUCUUGAGUACGGGAGAGGUGAGUGGAAUUCCUGGUGUAGAGGUGAAAUUCGUAGAUAUCAGGAGGAACACCGGUGGCGAAGGCGGCUCACUGGCCCGAUACUGACGCUCAUGUACGAAAGCGUGGGGAGCAAACAGG